This 150-nucleotide ribosomal RNA is filed under the name Tanytarsus takahashii. RNAcentral describes it as "partial 18S rRNA". It matches the Rfam family "Eukaryotic small subunit ribosomal RNA", at positions 1685 to 1831 of the family's 1831-position model. The record is from RNAcentral. Lineage: Eukaryota; Metazoa; Arthropoda; Insecta; Diptera; Chironomidae.
CCGACGAAUUAUUUAGUGAGAUCUCUGGAGGUGAACACGACGGUGUUUCGGCACUGUUGUUGCUUCGCCAAAGUUGAUCAAACUUGAUGAUUUGGAGGAAAUAAAAGUCGUAACAAGGUUUCCGUAGGUGAACCUGCGGAAGGAUCAUUA